RNAcentral lists this ribosomal RNA (1291 nucleotides) under Limosilactobacillus fermentum. RNAcentral describes it as "bacterial SSU rRNA". It matches the Rfam family "Bacterial small subunit ribosomal RNA", at positions 102 to 1377 of the family's 1533-position model. Lineage: Bacteria; Bacillati; Bacillota; Bacilli; Lactobacillales; Lactobacillaceae. The record is from RNAcentral.
ACGGGUGAGUAACACGUAGGUAACCUGCCCAGAAGCGGGGGACAACAUUUGGAAACAGAUGCUAAUACCGCAUAACAACGUUGUUCGCAUGAACAACGCUUAAAAGAUGGCUUCUCGCUAUCACUUCUGGAUGGACCUGCGGUGCAUUAGCUUGUUGGUGGGGUAACGGCCUACCAAGGCGAUGAUGCAUAGCCGAGUUGAGAGACUGAUCGGCCACAAUGGGACUGAGACACGGCCCAUACUCCUACGGGAGGCAGCAGUAGGGAAUCUUCCACAAUGGGCGCAAGCCUGAUGGAGCAACACCGCGUGAGUGAAGAAGGGUUUCGGCUCGUAAAGCUCUGUUGUUAAAGAAGAACACGUAUGAGAGUAACUGUUCAUACGUUGACGGUAUUUAACCAGAAAGUCACGGCUAACUACGUGCCAGCAGCCGCGGUAAUACGUAGGUGGCAAGCGUUAUCCGGAUUUAUUGGGCGUAAAGAGAGUGCAGGCGGUUUUCUAAGUCUGAUGUGAAAGCCUUCGGCUUAACCGGAGAAGUGCAUCGGAAACUGGAUAACUUGAGUGCAGAAGAGGGUAGUGGAACUCCAUGUGUAGCGGUGGAAUGCGUAGAUAUAUGGAAGAACACCAGUGGCGAAGGCGGCUACCUGGUCUGCAACUGACGCUGAGACUCGAAAGCAUGGGUAGCGAACAGGAUUAGAUACCCUGGUAGUCCAUGCCGUAAACGAUGAGUGCUAGGUGUUGGAGGGUUUCCGGCCCUUCAGUGCCGGAGCUAACGCAUUAAGCACUCCGCCUGGGGAGUACGGACCGCAAGGUUGAAACUCAAGGGAAUUGACGGGGGCCCGCACAAGCGGUGGAGCAUGUGGUUUAAUUCGAAGCUACGCGAAGAACCUUACCAGGUCUUGACAUCUUGCGCCAACCCUAGAGAUAGGGCGUUUCCUUCGGGAACGCAAUGACAGGUGGUGCAUGGUCGUCGUCAGCUCGUGUCGUGAGAUGUUGGGUUAAGUCCCGCAACGAGCGCAACCCUUGUUACUAGUUGCCAGCAUUAAGUUGGGCACUCUAGUGAGACUGCCGGUGACAAACCGGAGGAAGGUGGGGACGACGUCAGAUCAUCAUGCCCCUUAUGACCUGGGCUACACACGUGCUACAAUGGACGGUACAACGAGUCGCGAACUCGCGAGGGCAAGCAAAUCUCUUAAAACCGUUCUCAGUUCGGACUGCAGGCUGCAACUCGCCUGCACGAAGUCGGAAUCGCUAGUAAUCGCGGAUCAGCAUGCCGCGGUGAAUACGUUCCCGG